UACGUAGGUGGCGAGCGUUGUCCGGAUUUACUGGGCGUAAAGGGAGCGUAGGCGGACUUUUAAGUGAGAUGUGAAAUACUCGGGCUCAACUUGAGUGCUGCAUUUCAAACUGGAAGUCUAGAGUGCAGGAGAGGAGAAUGGAAUUCCUAGUGUAGCGGUGAAAUGCGUAGAGAUUAGGAAGAACACCAGUGGCGAAGGCAAUUCUCUGGACUGUAACUGACGCUGAGGCUCGAAAGCGUGGGGAGCAAACAGG
RNAcentral lists this ribosomal RNA (253 nucleotides) under uncultured bacterium. RNAcentral describes it as "partial 16S ribosomal RNA". It matches the Rfam family "Bacterial small subunit ribosomal RNA", at positions 524 to 776 of the family's 1533-position model. The record is from RNAcentral.